UCCUAGGUUUGCGACCGCCGAUCUUCUUUCUUCUGUAUCGCUCCCUUCCAUUUCUCUCUCAAAUCGCUGUUAAAUUUCAUCUUUCUCCGGCUCAGGCCAAAUUCUUUCCCCAGUAUAAGCAAAAUUCCCAACUCUUUCUGUCUUCAGGAAGCCUUUGUCAAGACUCAAGAUCGACAUUUACUGUUACGCAGUAUCAGACUCAGCAGCAGUAAUUGGUCGGUGUCGCCGCCGCCGCCAUCAAGGGUUUCCUCUUCCCUUUUUACCCAAUCUUCUCAGAGAUUGAAGAAAAUAACCUUAGGAUUGUUGAAUUUUGUACCCGAUUGAGAUCAAAUUUCAGUCUCUUUUUUUAUUCUUCUAACUGCAGGCACGAUAUCGGCAUAUUGAUUUUGCUCCAGUCUAUGGCAAUGAGAAUGAGGUAUCAAUUUAAUUGUGAAACAAAGCUUUGGAGGAGAACAUAAUUGUGUAUCUGGAAACUGGUUGUGGAAAGACCUAAAUAGCCGUGUUGCUUAUGUAUGAACCAGUUGAUACUCAAACCUCAGAAGAACAUAUGUGUGCUAAAUCCUGAAGAUCUUUGUGGUAUAUAUGGAUCAAAUUGCUCCCAAUGGAUUAUUACAAUGGAGUAUUAGAAAGAAUGUGGCUAUCAUGAAGCCUCAUGAAGCAGCCAAAUUAGUUGCAGAAUGAGAUUUUUCAUGUAAAAGGACACUCCCCUGAACUGAAAGAUUGAGUUUGCAAUACACCUGUUACAAGUUUUUCGUCGUUUAUAUUGCCGGGCAUGGUAGGAAAUGUCACGGAAUUUUCUGGCUUCAGCCAUCCGAGACAAGUUCGUCUUAGCAGGAGUAAAACAUUUCUUUGAUUCUGUUGGAAAGUCAAUCUCCAAUGAGAGUUUCGAGGCUUGAUGGAAUAGAGCCGUAGAGAGCAACAGAGAGAGCUAAGGAAACGACCUCGCAACUUUCAAGUUUUGAGCUGCUUAACCAAAACAGAGCUUGCAGCGAUGGAGACAGAAACGAUGGCGAUAGAGAUAGUAUUGUUACGAGUUAUGAACUCAUCAAUGUCUUCUCUUUUGUAGCGCUUAAUUACAAUUUGGGUUUGAUAUUUCCCAGAUCUAAGUUGAAUAAAUAUUUCUCAACGGUGAUUGUUUCGACUGUUUUAUGAAUAUGUUGGUUAAAUGUGUAUUUUUCAA
This is a long non-coding RNA of Rosa rugosa (rugosa rose), 1180 nucleotides long. RefSeq lists it as uncharacterized. NCBI's taxonomy places the organism in Eukaryota, Viridiplantae, Streptophyta, Magnoliopsida, Rosales, Rosaceae. The transcript has 6 exons. The record is from RefSeq and is a predicted model, not a curated record.